This 465-nucleotide ribosomal RNA is filed under the name uncultured bacterium. RNAcentral describes it as "partial 16S ribosomal RNA". It matches the Rfam family "Bacterial small subunit ribosomal RNA", at positions 338 to 795 of the family's 1533-position model. The record is from RNAcentral.
CCUACGGGGUGCAGCAGUGGGGAAUUUUGCGCAAUGCUCGUAAGAGUGACGCAGCGACGCCGCGUGAAUGACGAAGGCCUUCGGGUCGUAAAGUUCUUUCGACAGGGAAGAAAAUGCAUAUAAGUAACUGUGUAUGUAUUGACGGUACCUGUAUAAGCAGCCCCGGCUAACUCCGUGCCAGCAGCCGCGGUAAUACGGAGGGGGCGAGCGUUGUUCGGAGGGACUGGGCGUAUAGAGCACGUAGGCGGUGUUGUAAGUCAUUAGUCAAAGACUAGAGCUCAACUUUAGUAAGGCUAGUGAUACUAUAAUACUAGAGUAUCAGAGAGGAUUGCAGAAUUCCUGGUGUAGCGGUGAAAUGCGUAGAUAUCAGGAGGAAUACCGUUAGCGAAGGCGGCAAUCUGGCUGGAAACUGACGCUGAGGUGCGAAAGCGUGGGUAGCAAACAGGAUUAGAUACCCCUGUAGUC